GGUUNUGGAUGAGUGGCGAACGGGUGAGUAACACGUGAGUAACCUGCCCCCUUCUUCUGGAUAACCGCAUGAAAGUGUGGCUAAUACGGGAUAUUCUGUGNCUGNNGCAUGGUGGGNNUGGGAAAGAUGCGCCUUUGGGUGUUUUUGGUGGGGGAUGGGCUCGCGGCCUAUCAGCUUGUUGGUGGGGUGAUGGCCUACCAAGGCGGUGACGGGUAGCCGGCCUGAGAGGGUGGACGGUCACACUGGGACUGAGACACGGCCCAGACUCCUACGGGAGGCAGCAGUGGGGAAUAUUGCACAAUGGGCGCAAGCCUGAUGCAGCGACGCCGCGUGAGGGAUGGAGGCCUUCGGGUUGUAAACCUCUUUCGCCAGUGAAGCAGGCCUGUCCCUUUUGUGGGUGGGUUGACGGUAGCUGGAUAAGAAGCGCCGGCUAACUACGUGCCAGCAGCCGCGGUAAUACGUAGGGCGCGAGCGUUGUCCGGAAUUAUUGGGCGUAAAGAGCUCGUAGGCGGCUGGUCGCGUCUGUCGUGAAAUCCUCUGGCUUAACUGGGGGCUUGCGGUGGGUACGGGCCGGCUUGAGUGCGGUAGGGGAGACUGGAACUCCUGGUGUAGCGGUGGAAUGCGCAGAUAUCAGGAAGAACACCGGUGGCGAAGGCGGGUCUCUGGGCCGUUACUGACGCUGAGGAGCGAAAGCGUGGGGAGCGAACAGGAUUAGAUACCCUGGUAGUCCACGCCGUAAACNUUGGGCACUAGGUGUGGGGGGCCUUUUCCGGGUCUUCCGCGCCGUAGCUAACGCAUUAAGUGCCCCGCCUGGGGAGUACGGCCGCAAGGCUAAAACUCAAAGGAAUUGACGGGGGCCCGCACAAGCGGCGGAGCAUGCGGAUUAAUUCGAUGCAACGCGAAGAACCUUACCAAGGCUUGACAUGUGCCGGUCGGCUCCGGAGACGGGUUUCCUCCUUGUGGGGCCGGUUCACAGGUGGUGCAUGGUUGUCGUCAGCUCGUGUCGUGAGAUGUUGGGUUAAGUCCCGCAACGAGCGCAACCCUUGUCCCGUGUUGCCAGCACGUUGUGGUGGGGACUCGCGGGAGACUGCCGGGGUCAACUCGGAGGAAGGUGGGGAUGACGUCAAAUCAUCAUGCCCCUUAUGUCUUGGGCUUCACGCAUGCUACAAUGGCCGGUACAGAGGGCUGCGAUACCGUGAGGUGGAGCGAAUCCCUUAAAGCCGGUCUCAGUUCGGAUCGGUGUCUGCAACUCGACACCGUGAAGUUGGAGUCGCUAGUAAUCGCAGAUCAGCAACGCUGCGGUGAAUACGUUCUCGGGCCUUGUACACACCGCCCGUCACGUCAUGAAAGUCGGCAACACCCGAAGCCCGU
Molecule: ribosomal RNA, 1371 nt
Filed under: Actinomyces viscosus
Lineage: Bacteria; Bacillati; Actinomycetota; Actinomycetes; Actinomycetales; Actinomycetaceae
Description: bacterial SSU rRNA
Rfam family: Bacterial small subunit ribosomal RNA
Source: RNAcentral